AGUGAACGCUGGCGGUAGGCCUAACACAUGCAAGUCGAACGGCGGCACAGUAAGAGCUUGCUCUUACGGGUGGCGAGUGGCGGACGGGUGAGGAAUACAUCGGAAUCUACUUUUUCGUGGGGGAUAACGUAGGGAAACUUACGCUAAUACCGCAUACGACCUACGGGUGAAAGCAGGGGAUCUUCGGACCUUGCGCGAUUGAAUGAGCCGAUGUCGGAUUAGCUAGUUGGCGGGGUAAAGGCCCACCAAGGCGACGAUCCGUAGCCGGUCUGAGAGGAUGAUCAGCCACACUGGAACUGAGACACGGUCCAGACUCCUACGGGAGGCAGCAGUGGGGAAUAUUGGACAAUGGGCGCAAGCCUGAUCCAGCCAUACCGCGUGGGUGAAGAAGGCCUUCGGGUUGUAAAGCCCUUUUGUUGGGAAAGAAAAGCAGCAGGUUAAUACCCCGCUGUUCUGACGGUACCCAAAGAAUAAGCACCGGCUAACUUCGUG
This 492-nucleotide ribosomal RNA is filed under the name uncultured bacterium. RNAcentral describes it as "partial 16S ribosomal RNA". It matches the Rfam family "Bacterial small subunit ribosomal RNA", at positions 29 to 507 of the family's 1533-position model. The record is from RNAcentral.